ACGCUCGACACCUACGGGAGACAGCAGUGGGGAAUAUUGCACAAUGGGGGAAACCCUGAUGCAGCGACGCCGCGUGAGCGAAGAAGUAUUUCGGUAUGUAAAGCUCUAUCAGCAGGGAAGAAACUGACGGUACCUGACUAAGAAGCACCGGCUAAAUACGUGCCAGCACGCCGGACGGUAAUCUGGAGGCGGGUCGUGGACGAAGGC
This 207-nucleotide ribosomal RNA is filed under the name uncultured bacterium. RNAcentral's name for it is "partial 16S ribosomal RNA". It matches the Rfam family "Bacterial small subunit ribosomal RNA", at positions 328 to 538 of the family's 1533-position model. The record is from RNAcentral.